This 105-nucleotide ribosomal RNA is filed under the name uncultured bacterium. RNAcentral describes it as "partial 16S ribosomal RNA". It matches the Rfam family "Bacterial small subunit ribosomal RNA", at positions 1379 to 1482 of the family's 1533-position model. The record is from RNAcentral.
CCUUGUACACACCGCCCGUCACACCAUGGGGAGCGGGUUCUGCCAGAAGUAGUUAGCCUAACCGCAAGGAGGGCGAUUACCACGGCAGGGUUCGUGACUGGGGUG